GACGAACGCUGGCGGCGUGCUUAACACAUGCAAGUCGAACGGAAAGGCCCUGCUCUUGUGGGGUUCUCGAGUGGCGAACGGGUGAGUAACACGUGAGUAACCUGCCCUUGACUUUGGGAUAUCUUCAGGAAACUGGGGCUCAUACCGGAUAGGAGCUCCUGCACCGUGGUGGGGGUUGGAAAGUUUCGGCGGUUGGGGAUGGACUCGCUGCUUAUCGGCUUGUUGGUGGAGUAGUGGCUUACCAAGGCUUUGACGGGUAGCCGGCCUGAGAGGGUGGCCGGCCACAUUGGGACUGAGAUACGGACCAGACUGCUACGGGAGGCAGCAGUGGGGAAUACUGCACAAUGGGCGGAAGCCAGAUGCAGCAGCGCCGCGUGCGGGAUGACGGCUUACGGGUUGUAAACCGAUUUCGCCUGUGCCGAAGCGUGCGUGACGGUAAUGGGUAAGGAAGCACCGGCUAACUACGUG
RNAcentral lists this ribosomal RNA (468 nucleotides) under uncultured bacterium. Its description in RNAcentral is "partial 16S ribosomal RNA". It matches the Rfam family "Bacterial small subunit ribosomal RNA", at positions 28 to 507 of the family's 1533-position model. The record is from RNAcentral.